CAACCGCGGUUAAACGAAUAGCCCUAGUUGAUAGCAUCACGGCGUAAAGGGUGGUUAGGAGAAACAAAAAUAAAGUUAAAUGACCCCUUGGCUGUCAUACGCUUCUAGGAGUCCGAAGCCCAAACACGAAAGUUACUUUAACAAAACUAUCCGACCCCACGAAAACUGAGAAACAAACUGGGAUUAGAUACCCCACUAUGCUCAGUCGUAAACAAAGACAUACAUAUACAAUAAUGUCCGCCAGGGUAUUACGAGCAUCAGCUUAAAAUCCAAAGGACCUGACGGUGCCUUAGACCCCCCUAGAGGAGCCUGUUCUAGAACCGAUAAUCCCCGUUAAACCUCACCAUUUCUGGCCAACCCAGCCUAUAUACCACCGUCGCCAGCUUACCCUAUGAGGGAACAAAAGUAAGCAAAAAGAGCACUGCCCAAAACGUCAGGUCAAGGUGUAGCGAACGAAAUGGGAAGAAAUGGGCUACAUUUUCUACAACAGAAUAUUACGAACACGCAAUAUGAAACUAAUGCUUGAAGGAGGAUUUAGUAGUAAAAAGGAAAUAGAGUGUCCUUUUGAACCCGGCCCUGAGGCACGUACACACCGCCCGUCACUCUCUCCCGUCACAGCGCACACAACCUACUUAACACAAAAGCACCGACAAGGGGAGGCAAGUCGUAACAAG
RNAcentral lists this ribosomal RNA (674 nucleotides) under Rasbora paviana (sidestripe rasbora). RNAcentral's name for it is "partial 12S ribosomal RNA". It matches the Rfam family "Bacterial small subunit ribosomal RNA", at positions 512 to 1495 of the family's 1533-position model. The record is from RNAcentral. Lineage: Eukaryota; Metazoa; Chordata; Actinopteri; Cypriniformes; Danionidae.